This 775-nucleotide long non-coding RNA is filed under the name Panax ginseng (ginseng). RNAcentral describes it as "long non-coding RNA (PGIN_LNC007008)". The record is from RNAcentral. Lineage: Eukaryota; Viridiplantae; Streptophyta; Magnoliopsida; Apiales; Araliaceae.
UACGACAAAACAUAAACUGAGAGUUUUAAUAAGAAUAUUGUCAUCUAGACAAUAUCCACACUCAAUGGAGUCCUCGUUAUAUUUAUUGUCACAUUAUUUUAUAGAAUAGUGAGGACUACAAAAACAACCAUCUGGACCGUCAAUCCGUUCCCCGACUCGUCCCAACUAUAUUCUCAUUUCUUAAAGAGAACAGUGAAAGAAAGGGUGAGCUCAACUAGCCCAGUAAGAAAUAUUAUGACUAAGAUAAUGCAGAAUAAAUUAUCCUUAGCCUUCAACAGUAUAACAACUGAUAGAAUACAAUAGACAACAAGUUUUAGAUCAACAACUGCAGUAGAAAUAAGCAAUCCAUUAGAAGAGUAAAGUAGAGCAUAAAAUCUACUAUCUUCUAUGAUUUAAAAAGUUUUUCAUCAACUUUAUCGCUGAGACUCAACUUAAUAAAUAAAAUCGAAUCAUCCCUGCACCAAUGCCAAGGAUAUUCAUGUAAUCAUCAAUGGUCAUGAUUAUACCGAAUAAUCUCUAGUCAUAAUCAUACCAACAACUGUCCAUCAAUGAACUACAGGCCAAUGAGGACUUUUACCACAUCAUUCAUUUCAUUACGGUCAUGAUUAUACCGAAUAAUCCCCGGUCAUAAUCAUACCAAGUCCAUCUAAGCACGUAAACCAAAGAUGACUUUAAUCACAAUAUAAGCAUGAGGAUGAUGACAAUGACAUAAUAAUUCAAUAAAACAAGUUCAAGGAUAAAUUUUAAAGAUUUAUAAUUUAAUUUAUCCAGAAAU